RNAcentral lists this ribosomal RNA (496 nucleotides) under uncultured bacterium. RNAcentral describes it as "partial 16S ribosomal RNA". It matches the Rfam family "Bacterial small subunit ribosomal RNA", at positions 29 to 506 of the family's 1533-position model. The record is from RNAcentral.
UAUGAACGCUGGCGGCGUGCCUAAUACAUGCAAGUCGAGCGAACAGACGAGGAGCUUGCUCCUUUGACGUUAGCGGCGGACGGGUGAGUAACACGUAGGUAACCUACCUAUAAGACUGGGAUAACUUCGGGAAACCGGAGCUAAUACCGGAUAAUAUUUCGAACCGCAUGGUUCGAUAGUGAAAGAUGGCUUUGCUAUCACUUAUAGAUGGACCUGCGCCGUAUUAGCUAGUUGGUAAGGUAACGGCUUACCAAGGCAACGAUACGUAGCCGACCUGAGAGGGUGAUCGGCCACACUGGAACUGAGACACGGUCCAGACUCCUACGGGAGGCAGCAGUAGGGAAUCUUCCGAAAUGGGCGAAAGCCUGACGGAGCAACGCCGCGUGAGUGAUGAAGGUCUUCGGAUCGUAAAACUCUGUUAUUAGGGAAGAACAAACGUGUAAGUAACUGUGCACGUCUUGACGGUACCUAAUCAGAAAGCCACGGCUAACUACGU